UCGACCACAUCAACCACCUUCUCUUACUCCUGCCCCACUUUUCUUCCCUUCCCCUAAAUCCAGGUUCACGUUAGAGGAUAAGAUAAACAACAAUGUGGGCAUCACCACAGGUUGUUGCCAGUCUUAGCCAUGAGAGCUAAUGGAAACAAAUUGCUGCUAUGACAAAAUGAGAGUCAGUCAAAAAAACAAAAACAGCGUAGGCAAUUCACCAUCACGCCUCUCCAAGCAGAAUCCUCCCACAGAUGGCACAGUACCCAUCAGAUAGCCUUUAAAGAAAAGAAACUCGGCACUUCCCACAUCUCCACAGACCCUCUGAAAGUCAAUCCCAGAAGUUACGUUCUCCCUCUUCCCACUUCAACUGUUCACCUGCCUUACAUACAGCUCAUCCUGCUUGAAACCGGUCCGUGCUUCCCUGAGUGACUUUGCGAGUUGUUAUCUGGACUCAGAAAGCAGAGGAAAGGGCUGCUCCUGUUACAAGCUGGCGGCUCCACGUGGUGCUGUGGAAAAGGCAUCCUUGCCGGAGGCAAAGGCAUUUACACCUUCCAGGGAGACACAUGAUUAGAGACGGCAGGGGAGGUGCAGACACAGACAGGGAGGAGGGGGUGGAUAGGCAGCUAACUGAAACUUCAUCUAUUAGAAGAGGAAAGGCCUUUGAAAAGUGAAUUAACGAUAUUUAUAGCUGCUUCAGGUAAGUAGCUGGCGAGAGCUCUCGGAUAAUGAGGCCAAGGUUGAAUUCCCAUACGGACCAGAGAGAAGCGAUGGCGGAGAUCCUGUGGAGAAGUGAUGCUGUUCCCGCCCUGGCUCUGAGACUUAGGCAAACACACACCUCUCUGAACCUCAGUUCCCCAGUCUAAAACGGGUAUUCACAUUCCACCUGCCUGUCCCAUAUGUCUUAAGGAAUAAA
This is a long non-coding RNA of Myotis brandtii (Brandt's bat), 904 nucleotides long. RefSeq lists it as uncharacterized. The transcript has 2 exons. The record is from RefSeq and is a predicted model, not a curated record. NCBI's taxonomy places the organism in Eukaryota, Metazoa, Chordata, Mammalia, Chiroptera, Vespertilionidae.